This 65-nucleotide transfer RNA is filed under the name Dipodomys ordii (Ord's kangaroo rat). It matches the Rfam family "tRNA". From Rfam's summary of the family: Transfer RNA (tRNA) molecules are approximately 80 nucleotides in length. Their secondary structure includes four short double-helical elements and three loops (D, anti-codon, and T loops). Further hydrogen bonds mediate the characteristic L-shaped molecular structure. tRNAs have two regions of fundamental functional importance: the anti-codon, which is responsible for specific mRNA codon recognition, and the 3' end, to which the tRNAs corresponding amino acid is attached (by aminoacyl-tRNA synthetases). tRNAs cope with the degeneracy of the genetic code in two manners: having more than one tRNA (with a specific anti-codon) for a particular amino acid; and 'wobble' base-pairing, i.e. permitting non-standard base-pairing at the 3rd anti-codon position. Lineage: Eukaryota; Metazoa; Chordata; Mammalia; Rodentia; Heteromyidae. The record is from Rfam by way of RNAcentral.
GGUGGCUCAGUGGUAGAGCGCUUGUCUUGCAUGUAUGAGGCACUGGGUUCGAUUCCUCAGUACCA